RNAcentral lists this ribosomal RNA (467 nucleotides) under uncultured bacterium. RNAcentral's name for it is "partial 16S ribosomal RNA". It matches the Rfam family "Bacterial small subunit ribosomal RNA", at positions 28 to 507 of the family's 1533-position model. The record is from RNAcentral.
GACGAACGCUGGCGGCGUGCUUAACACAUGCAAGUCGAACGGAAAGGCCCUGCUUUUGUGGGGUGCUCGAGUGGCGAACGGGUGAGUAACACGUGAGUAACCUGCCCUUGACUUUGGGAUAACUUCAGGAAACUGGGGCUAUUCCGGAAAGGAGCUUCUGGUGCCUGGGGGGGGGUUGGAAAGUUCGGCGGUUGGGGAUGGACUCGCGGCUUAUCAGCUUGUUGGUGGGGUAGUGGCUUACCAAGGCUUUGACGGGUAGCCGGCCUGAGAGGGUGACCGGCCACAUUGGGACUGAGAUACGGCCCAGACUCCUACGGGAGGCAGCAGUGGGGAAUAUUGCACAAUGGGCGGAAGCCUGAUGCAGCAACGCCGCGUGCGGGAUGACGGCCUUCGGGUUGUAAACCGCUUUCGCCUGUGACGAAGCGUGAGUGACGGUAAUGGGUAAAGAAGCACCGGCUAACUACGUG